GCAAACUUGGUCAUUUAGAGGAAGUAAAAGUCGUAACAAGGUCUCCGUAGGUGAACCUGCGGAGGGAUCAUUACCAGAGAUGGCGGGCCUCCGUGCCCCCGUCCCCAACCCUUUGCCGACCAAAACCUUUUGUGCCUCGGGGGGCCGUGUGGCCUUCGGCCGCCGCCCCCCGGAGGACCCGACCAACGCUGUCUUUGUGAGACGUCGGAGUAAACAGAUUGAAUCAAUCAAAACUUUCAACAACGGAUCUCUUGGUUCUGGCAUCGAUGAAGAACGCAGC
This 280-nucleotide unclassified non-coding RNA is filed under the name uncultured fungus. RNAcentral describes it as "partial contains small subunit ribosomal RNA, internal transcribed spacer 1, and 5.8S ribosomal RNA". The stretch from base 1 to 73 matches the Rfam family "Eukaryotic small subunit ribosomal RNA", at positions 1759 to 1831 of the family's 1831-position model. The record is from RNAcentral. Lineage: Eukaryota; Fungi.